CUGCGAUGAUGGCAAGAUUUUUCGUCAACAGAACCGCGCCGUGCGCAUGGUGACACCUGUGGUCUGAGCAG
Phalacrocorax carbo (great cormorant) is the source of this 71-nucleotide non-coding RNA. NCBI's taxonomy places the organism in Eukaryota, Metazoa, Chordata, Aves, Suliformes, Phalacrocoracidae. The record is from RefSeq and is a predicted model, not a curated record.